Molecule: microRNA, 20 nt
Filed under: Caenorhabditis elegans
Lineage: Eukaryota; Metazoa; Nematoda; Chromadorea; Rhabditida; Rhabditidae
Description: cel-miR-269
Gene: cel-miR-269
Source: miRBase by way of RNAcentral
GGCAAGACUCUGGCAAAACU